UUUGAUUGACUGAGUGGCGGACGGGUGAGUAACGCGUGGAUAACCUGCCUCACACUGGGGGAUAACAGUUAGAAAUGACUGCUAAUACCGCAUAAGCGCACAGUACCGCAUGGUACGGUGUGAAAAACUCCGGUGGUGUGAGAUGGAUCCGCGUCUGAUUAGCCAGUUGGCGGGGUAACGGCCCACCAAAGCGACGAUCAGUAGCCGACCUGAGAGGGUGACCGGCCACAUUGGGACUGAGACACGGCCCAAACUCCUACGGGAGGCAGCAGUGGGGAAUAUUGCACAAUGGGCGAAAGCCUGAUGCAGCGACGCCGCGUGAGUGAAGAAGUAUUUCGGUAUGUAAAGCUCUAUCAGCAGGGAAGAAAAUGACGGUACCUGACUAAGAAGCCCCGGCUAACUACGUGCCAGCAGCCGCGGUAAUACGUAGGGGGCAAGCGUUAUCCGGAUUUACUGGGUGUAAAGGGAGCGUAGACGGCGAAGCAAGUCUGAAGUGAAAACCCAGGGCUCAACCCUGGGACUGCUUUGGAAACUGUUUUGCUAGAGUGUCGGAGAGGUAAGUGGAAUUCCUAGUGUAGCGGUGAAAUGCGUAGAUAUUAGGAGGAA
RNAcentral lists this ribosomal RNA (606 nucleotides) under uncultured Lachnospiraceae bacterium. RNAcentral's name for it is "bacterial SSU rRNA". It matches the Rfam family "Bacterial small subunit ribosomal RNA", at positions 82 to 706 of the family's 1533-position model. Lineage: Bacteria; Bacillati; Bacillota; Clostridia; Lachnospirales; Lachnospiraceae. The record is from RNAcentral.